RNAcentral lists this long non-coding RNA (908 nucleotides) under Mustela putorius furo (domestic ferret). RNAcentral's name for it is "lncRNA (ENSMPUG00000028378.1)". Lineage: Eukaryota; Metazoa; Chordata; Mammalia; Carnivora; Mustelidae. The record is from RNAcentral.
CCCGGGUUAGGACGGCUGGAUGGGAUACAGAGUUUUCACAAAGAAGACAGCGCUCUUGGAAAGGAAUUAUUUGCUGUAGGGUUAUAUACUUUUUUUUUCAUUAAAGGUUAAAAAUCAUCAGACAACGGACAUUUCAGAAAGUUGUCGAUGUUACCUUUCUAGUAUGUGCAGAGCUGAUGACUUCACUCUCACGAAAAGCUGGGAAGUUUCUUCCUUCUUUCUAAUCUUCUGUACUCAGAAAGCUCCUUUUGGUUAUUUUCUUUAAGGAAGCAGAGAUACAGUGUUUGCUCGGGGCAGAAACAAGGGCUGUGCUUGGAGGUUUUGCUGAGUCAUGUUGACCUUGGUGAAUGGUAAGUGUAGCUUCCCUGGGAGCCCAGGAGCCGGCCCACGGGCACGAAAGGUUGAGAAUUUCGUUUACUGUGAGGCAGUCAGGACGCCGCUGUGUUUCAUCUGAAGCCCCUGGCCCUGCGAUGCCCGGCACUCGGGGAGGAGUGCGGUGCGGCCGGGGACGGGAGCUUUCCAGAGCGCCUGUCUCCCGUCCGGCGUCGUGGAGCGCGCGGUGCAGAAGCAUGUCCGGAGCCCUCGGGGAGAGGAGAUGUGGCCUGUCAUCGAAUCAGCGGGAUGAGCACGCUUCCAGGUUUCCGAGAAGACUCCACAUCUUGCUUUUCACAGCUUCGGGUAAAUCCCCAUCAGGAUGCCGCAGGCCUCGGCACAGACAGGACCAUGACCUCCUGGAAUGAGCUGUGCACUUUCAUUACCUUAUUGUUGUUCAUUGGGCGUUAUUAAUACUAAAACCACAUUUUCUUUCUAAUUCAGGCAGAUGAGAUAAAUACAAUGCCACACAAUUAAAUGAUCUCUCCACGUGGCCUCCCAGUGGUCUUAAAUAAAUCUGGUUUUGUACAUCUACU